Molecule: ribosomal RNA, 606 nt
Filed under: uncultured bacterium
Lineage: Bacteria
Description: bacterial SSU rRNA
Rfam family: Bacterial small subunit ribosomal RNA
Source: RNAcentral
GUGAGAAGGUUUUCGGAUCGUAAAACUCUGUUGUUAGGGAAGACAAGUGCAUACUAACUGAUGGCACCUUGACGGUACCUAACCAGAAAGCCACGGCUAACUACGUGCCAGCAGCCGCGGUAAUACGUAGGUGGCAAGCGUUGUCCGGAAUUAUUGGGCGUAAAGCGCUCGCAGGCGGUUCUUUAAGUCUGAUGUGAAAUCUUACGGCUCAACCGUAAACGUGCAUUGGAAACUGGGGAACUUGAGUGCAGAAGAGGAGAGUGGAAUUCCACGUGUAGCGGUGAAAUGCGUAGAGAUGUGGAGGAACACCAGUGGCGAAGGCGACUCUCUGGUCUGUAACUGACGCUGAGGAGCGAAAGCGUGGGGAGCGAACAGGAUUAGAUACCCUGGUAGUCCACGCCGUAAACGAUGAGUGCUAGGUGUCAGGGGGUUUCCGCCCCUUAGUGCUGAAGUUAACGCAUUACGCACUCCGCCUGGGGAGUACGGCCGCAAGGCUGAAACUCAACAGAAUUGACGGGGGCCCCGCACAAGCGGUGGAGCAUGUGGUUUAAUUCGAAGCAACGCGAAGAACCUUUACAGGUCUUGACAUCCUCUGAACACUCUAGA